AGCGAACGCUGGCGGCAGGCCUAACACAUGCAAGUCGAACGAACUCUUCGGAGUUAGUGGCGGACGGGUGAGUAACACGUGGGAACGUGCCUUUUGGUUCGGAAUAACUCAGGGAAACUUGUGCUAAUACCGAAUGUGCCCUUCGGGGGAAAGAUUUAUCGCCAUUAGAGCGGCCCGCGUCUGAUUAGCUAGUUGGUGAGGUAACGGCUCACCAAGGCGACGAUCAGUAGCUGGUCUGAGAGGAUGACCAGCCACACUGGGACUGAGACACGGCCCAGACUCCUACGGGAGGCAGCAGUGGGGAAUCUUGCGAAAUGGGCGAAAGACUGACGCAGCCAUGCCGCGUGAAUGAUGAAGGUCUUAGGAUUGUAAAAUUCUUUCACCGGGGACGAUAAUGACGGUACCCGGAGAAGAAGCCCCGGCUAACUUCGUA
This 433-nucleotide ribosomal RNA is filed under the name uncultured bacterium. RNAcentral describes it as "partial 16S ribosomal RNA". It matches the Rfam family "Bacterial small subunit ribosomal RNA", at positions 29 to 507 of the family's 1533-position model. The record is from RNAcentral.